RNAcentral lists this ribosomal RNA (253 nucleotides) under uncultured bacterium. Its description in RNAcentral is "partial 16S ribosomal RNA". It matches the Rfam family "Bacterial small subunit ribosomal RNA", at positions 524 to 776 of the family's 1533-position model. The record is from RNAcentral.
UACGAAGGGGGCUAGCGUUGUUCGGAUUUACUGGGCGUAAAGCGCGUGUAGGCGGACUUGUAAGUUGGGGGUGAAAUCCCGAGGCUCAACCUCGGAACUGCCUCCAAAACUACAAGUCUGGAGCAAGAUAGAGGCAAGUGGAAUUGCGAGUGUAGAGGUGAAAUUCGUAGAUAUUCGCAGAAACACCAGUGGCGAAGGCGACUUGCUGGAUCUUUGCUGACGCUGAGACGCGAAAGCGUGGGGAGCAAACAGG